CUGCCCCCUGAAUAUUUUUUAAAUGGCUGCAGUAUACCUGACUGUGCAAAGGUAGCAUAAUAAUUCGUUUUUUAAUUGAAAACUUGUAUGAAAGAUUUAAUGAAAUAUUAACUGUCUCAAUUUAAAUUAUUGAAAUUUAAUUUUGAAUAAAAAUGUUUAAAUUUAAUUAUUAGACGAUAAGACCCUGUAGAAUUUUAUAUUUAUUUUAGUUUUGAUAUAUUUUAUUAAUAUUAAGGUAAUUAUUUAGUUGGGGAGAUUGAAAAAUUUUUGAACUUUUUUUAAUUUAAAACAAUUAUGAUUGGAAUUAAGCAUUAUUUAUUAAUUAAAUUAGAAAAAAUUACCUUAGGGAUAACAGAAUAAUUUUUUUUGAAAGUUCUUAUUGAAAAAAAAGAUUAUGACCUCGAUGUUGAAUUAAGAUUAAUUAAUGGGGUAGAAUUUAUUAUAUU
RNAcentral lists this ribosomal RNA (446 nucleotides) under Vanhornia eucnemidarum. RNAcentral's name for it is "partial 16S rRNA". The record is from RNAcentral. Lineage: Eukaryota; Metazoa; Arthropoda; Insecta; Hymenoptera; Vanhorniidae.